GAUGAACGCUGGCGGCGUGCCUAAUACAUGCAAGUCGAGCGGACCAAAGAGAGCUUGCUCUCUGAGGUUAGCGGCGGACGGGUGAGUAACACGUGGGUAACCUGCCUGUAAGACGGGGAUAACUUCGGGAAACCGAAGCUAAUACCGGGUGAUAAAGAGAAACGCCUGUUUCUUUUUUGAAAGUCGGCCUUGUGCUGACGCUUACAGAUGGGCCCGCGGCGCAUUAGCUAGUUGGUGAGGUAACGGCUCACCAAGGCGACGAUGCGUAGCCGCCCUGAGAGGGUGAUCGGCCAGACGGGGACUGAGACACGGCCCAGACUCCUACGGGAGGCAGCAGUAGGGAAUCUUCGGCAAUGGACGAAAGUCUGACCGAGCAACGCCGCGUGAGCGAUGAAGGCCUUCGGGUCGUAAAGCUCUGUUGUCAGAGAAGAACAAGUACCGGAGUAACUGCCGGUACCUUGACGGUACCUGACCAGAAAGCCACGGCUAACUACGUGCCAGCCGCCGCCGUAA
RNAcentral lists this ribosomal RNA (513 nucleotides) under uncultured bacterium. RNAcentral describes it as "partial 16S ribosomal RNA". It matches the Rfam family "Bacterial small subunit ribosomal RNA", at positions 28 to 523 of the family's 1533-position model. The record is from RNAcentral.